CCUACGGGGUGCUGCAGUGGGGAAUAUUGGACAAUGGGCGAAAGCCUGAUCCAGCCAUGCCGCGUGUGUGAAGAAGGCCUUCGGGUUGUAAAGCACUUUCAGUGGGGAAGAAAGCCUUGGGGCUAAUACCCUCGAGGAAGGACAUCACCCACAGAAGAAGCACCGGCUAACUCCGUGCCAGCAGCCGCGGUAAUACGGAGGGUGCGAGCGUUAAUCGGAAUUACUGGGCGUAAAGCGCGCGUAGGCGGUCUGAUAAGCCGGUUGUGAAAGCCCCGGGCUCAACCUGGGAACGGCAUCCGGAACUGGCAGGCUAGAGUGCAGGAGAGGAAGGUAGAAUUCCCGGUGUAGCGGUGAAAUGCGUAGAGAUCGGGAGGAAUACCAGUGGCGAAGGCGGCCUUCUGGACUGACACUGACGCUGAGGUGCGAAAGCGUGGGUAGCAAACAGGAUUAGAUACCCCAGUAGUC
Molecule: ribosomal RNA, 465 nt
Filed under: Vreelandella stevensii
Lineage: Bacteria; Pseudomonadati; Pseudomonadota; Gammaproteobacteria; Oceanospirillales; Halomonadaceae
Description: partial 16S ribosomal RNA
Rfam family: Bacterial small subunit ribosomal RNA
Source: RNAcentral